UCGUCAGCCUUAAAGGGAAGGAAAUAUCGACACAUGCUAGGACACGGCUGAACCUUGAGCUCAAGUGAAUCAGGAAAUAAUGUCUCCGCCUAACAAAGUCAAGGAUCAAAACGCUUAGAGAGCCGCUCCUUCCUGUGUGGAGUGACAUCUCGGCUCUUGAAGGCUCUCGAACCGAUUUGCAGUGAAUUCAGGAGCCUCUGGGUCUGCAGGCAAAUGGAACUGAUUCUUUGCAAUUCAAAGCAACACGGCAAGAUGGAACCUUGUGAGGCAUCCAGACUUCAGAGCGCACUGAGAGACGAAUUUCCAUACCCAAACCUCAAAACCAGUCACAUGUUCUUUUGUUUGUUUAUUUUAAGUAGGCUCCACAGGGAGCACGGUGCUUGAACUCACCACCCUGCUGAGAUCAAGAGUCCCGGAUGCAGCCAGGCACCCCUCACGUUUGUUUGUUUGUUUGUUUGUUUGUUUGUUUAAGACAUGUUUCUCUUUACAAAAAUGUAAUCAUUAUCAAUUGCCUCCAUUUCUGUUAGAAUUUUAUAGUUCCCCAGCUUUCAAUAAACCGUUCGUUUUGAACUCAAAA
Molecule: long non-coding RNA, 577 nt
Organism: Herpailurus yagouaroundi (jaguarundi)
Lineage: Eukaryota; Metazoa; Chordata; Mammalia; Carnivora; Felidae
Exons: 2
Source: RefSeq, a predicted model, not a curated record